CCUACGGGUGGCAGCAGUGGGGAAUAUUGCGCAAUGGGCGAAAGCCUGACGCAGCGACACCGCGUGAGGGAUGAAGGUCUUCGGAUCGUAAACCUCUGUCAGCAGGGAAGAACGGUCACUGUGCUAAUCAGCAGUGAAUUGACGGUACCUGACGAAGAAGCCCCGGCUAACUACGUGCCAGCAGCCGCGGUAAUACGUAGGGGGCAAGCGUUAUCCGGAUUUACUGGGUGUAAAGGGGGCGCAGACGGCGAUGCAAGCCAGGAGUGAAAGCCCGGGGCCCAACCCCGGGACUGCUCUUGGAACUGCGUGGCUGGAGUGCAGGAGGGGCAGGCGGAAUUCCUGGUGUAGCGGUGAAAUGCGUAGAUAUCAGGAGGAACACCGGUGGCGAAGGCGGCCUGCUGGACUGCAACUGACGUUGAGGCCCGAAAGCGUGGGGAGCAAACAGGAUUAGAUACCCCUGUAGUC
RNAcentral lists this ribosomal RNA (465 nucleotides) under uncultured bacterium. Its description in RNAcentral is "partial 16S ribosomal RNA". It matches the Rfam family "Bacterial small subunit ribosomal RNA", at positions 338 to 795 of the family's 1533-position model. The record is from RNAcentral.